This 283-nucleotide unclassified non-coding RNA is filed under the name Hevea brasiliensis (rubber tree). The record is from RNAcentral. Lineage: Eukaryota; Viridiplantae; Streptophyta; Magnoliopsida; Malpighiales; Euphorbiaceae.
UUAAAUUCCUGUUGUUUAUACGUAUUGUGAUGGCUCCAGCAUCAUAUGAGGUUGUCAAAGGCACAUGAAAUUUAGUGGUAUCCUGAAACUGGAAUGUCAAGGUGUAUCGGUGUCUUGAAAUGCAGAACCUUGGCUACUAAUUGUUGUAAGAUGUGUCAUGCAUGUUUUCUUUGUUUUGUAUUUGAUGCUUCUUUAGGGAAAGUUAUUCUCUAGCUUCCAAAUUCUACAAAUGCAGAAUGCUCAUUGCUGAUUACAAGACCAAGAUUAAAUUCCAUAUGCAUUG